UGGGCUAGAAUGCCACUUGACCGGUCCUGAAAGGGAUUUUUGUAGCAAUACACAGGUGGUAAGGUGCUGCAUGGCUGUCGUCAGCUCGUGCCGUGAGGUGUUGGGUUAAGUCCCGCAACGAGCGCAACCCCCAUCAUUAGUUGCCAUCAGGUAAAGCUGGGAACUCUAAUGAAACUGCCGUCGUAAGACGUGAGGAAGGAGGGGAUGAUGUCAAGUCAUCAUGGCCUUUAUGCCCAGGGCUACACACGUGCUACAAUGGGGCGUACAAAGGGCUGCAACACAGUGAUGUGAAGCUAAUCCCAAAAAACGUCUCUCAGUUCAGAUCGUAGUCUGCAACUCGACUACGUGAAGCUGGAAUCGCUAGUAAUCGUAUAUCAGCAAUGAUACGGUGAAUACGUUCCCGGACC
This 407-nucleotide ribosomal RNA is filed under the name uncultured bacterium. RNAcentral's name for it is "bacterial SSU rRNA". It matches the Rfam family "Bacterial small subunit ribosomal RNA", at positions 976 to 1380 of the family's 1533-position model. The record is from RNAcentral.